Myodes glareolus (Bank vole) is the source of this 1626-nucleotide non-coding RNA. The record is from RefSeq and is a predicted model, not a curated record. Lineage: Eukaryota; Metazoa; Chordata; Mammalia; Rodentia; Cricetidae.
GGCAGGUUUCUCCGGGAAUAGCCCGGGAGGCGACGUGGUUACGCAUGCGCCCCCAAGAGGCGGCCUCGAUUGUGCACCGCUUACCUUUUUUAAAGAAUUUGGUGGGAUUUGAGGCUUGGGCCUCUUCCGUCAAAUGCUCUUCUUGUCCCGGUCAUUUAGUCGUAAUGUAAGUCCGUCUCUGUCCGUGUCAGGGUUCAGCCUCAGUUUUGAGAGCCAAAGGGAAAGUAAUUUAAAAGCCCCUGCCUGCCGGAGUCCCGCUCAGGAGAGCUCUGUCUUACGCACACUCCCGGCACCUAGAAUCCAGUGUGGGUGAUAUUAUGGGUCUUGAUCGCCCUGGAAAGCUGUCAUUUGUUGCUGACAUAAGGGAAAAGAACAGUUCCCAAAGGCCUCCACGACAGAAGUAACUUUCUGGGUGGCCCUUGGGCCUGUUUCUGCUCGCUGACCAACCCUCUGUUCUGAGUCUUCCUCAGAUCUCCACGUAAUGAGCUCGCUGGAGUCUCCAAAGGAGAAGGUGCUACAAGCUGGUGGUCUGCAAAUGUCCAGCUUCCCUUUAGGAGCACAGCACUGUUGAGGGAAGAAAUCUCAACCAGAGAUAACAUAUCAGCAACUCUGAAUCAGAGCUGCUGCUGCCCUUUUGAGAGUCUGCAUGAAGAAAGUAGCAGAGGAUCUAGAAUGCGGAUCCCAGAAUGACUGUGUGGAACAAUGCCCCCGUCCACUCCCAUCAUCCUUAGAAGGCAGAAAGAAGUACAAGCUCACGGAGAAAUACGUUCUUGUUGCUUUACACCAGGCAAGUGUGGAGUUUUUCUUGUUCUACCAGCUGUGACCUUAAGACAUGUCACUGGUUUGCUACCUUUGCCCAAACCCCAGGAAAAUCGCUAGAGCACAGCCAUGAAAGCCUGGCCACUAUAGCAGAACAGAGACAAAUGGCAUGAAAGACUUCUCUGGUCUUUGAACAGGCAGAGAUUCACUUUAAAGGUGGGUAGGUAAGAAUGUGAAGCAGGUGUUGCUAUCUGCUUGUGUGGCUCCAGGGCCAGUAUUUCCUUAUGUGACUUGAGGGGUGAGAGAAGAAUCAGAUAGCAAUUCUGGGUUCUUGGUGGAUGGAUCCAUCAAGAUAAUAGGACACUAUGGCAAUUUCACAGAGAGGAUGUCAUGGCCAUUAGUGCUAUCAGAUGACAAGCUGUGACUAAGAUGACUCUGGCUAACCACCUAAUGCAAGAAAUGAAUGCUUUGGCUGCUCUGACAGCCUGAGGGGAGCAAGCCCGGGCGCCAGUUCUGUGUUCUCACUGCAGGGAUGAUCACUGUCCUCGGCGGGAAACGGAUUCUGCCCCCAUCCGCAGUCAGUAGCAGCCCCUUCCUGGUGGGUGGAUUCCAGGACUCUGCUCAGGUUUCCAUGCUGGAGGCUUCCACACAGGUGAUAUUAUCCCAUCUCCAAGAGGCAAUGGAGGCCCAGGGUUGCCGGUAAACUGAUCUGUCCCAGGGCCCCUAGCUAUGCGCUCCCUCCUUGUCCCUCUUGCUCACCGCUUCCUUAUUCCCUCACAUUUUGUCCUUAAUGAAAUUGUGGCACUCUGCAACAUACUCAGAACUACUAGUUCAGGGUCAAGAACAAACUCUCAACUGAUGAAUUUC